GCUGCCUUACCCACACAGUGGGAAAUUGUCUGGAUGACAUUUAAGCUCUCUUGAAACCUUUCAGUGAAAAAAUUUCAACACUUUGUCUGCCUACCCUAAACUUCUCCAACACUGAGCCAUCAGUAAUGUCUUGGACUACAAUCAGGAUGGGUGAUGGGAGAGGCAGCCCAACAAUAUUUAGGAAGCAAAAGUUGGGGAAGUUGGCUACCCUAUGGACUACUCUCAUGGCUUUCCCACAAGACAUCUUGGGAGCUGUAAUUCAAUGACUGUUUUGAGAAUUCUCUUUUGGAAACCAUAGCAGAUGCAGAAACAUCA
Molecule: long non-coding RNA, 315 nt
Organism: Podarcis raffonei (Aeolian wall lizard)
Lineage: Eukaryota; Metazoa; Chordata; Lepidosauria; Squamata; Lacertidae
Exons: 2
Source: RefSeq, a predicted model, not a curated record